This is a long non-coding RNA of Helianthus annuus (common sunflower), 846 nucleotides long. RefSeq lists it as uncharacterized. The record is from RefSeq and is a predicted model, not a curated record. Lineage: Eukaryota; Viridiplantae; Streptophyta; Magnoliopsida; Asterales; Asteraceae. The transcript has 2 exons.
AACUCAAAAAUUCAUUUACAUAAUUCAUUUAAGGUAAAAAAUUAAAAUUCCCGCCCCCAUAAACUCCCUCCGUCUUUUCCCGCCUAAUGAAAAUUCCCACCCCAUAAACUACCUCAAUCGCUUGGCUCCAUUUAAAAAUUUCAUCCCCAAAAAUGAUUCCCCAUUCAAACUGCACUACUACUCCACGGUACGUGUUCCUUUCAAUUUAUUUAAUCUCUUUUUAUAUUUAAUAUUCAGUAUCAUUAAUAUGAGUUCAUUUAAAGCCCAAAUUGACUCUGUGUCACUUUGGUUCAAAUUCCAUUUAAAUAUGUUUUUUUUAUCUCUCGUGUAUUUGCUCUCAUGGAUUUGUACAAGAUGAUUUUAAGAUUAAGAUGGUUAUGAUAGCUUUCCAGACUCAUUGCUAUUCAGUUAUAUUUGUCCAAUAUGUUAUUUUUCUGGGUUAAUGUGUGAAGCAUUUACAUCUCAUAGUUUAUUUGUUCCAAGUUUAUCAGGUGCGGUUAGAGAAUCAGUCAAUGCUCAAACCUCAAAACACACACAUCGAUCAUUUGAGAACACACUAAACGUGGGAAACAUCUGCCAAAAAUGAUCAUAAAUCUUGCUUGGAAACAGGAAAAGAUGGCAAUGAAGGAUGUUCUAUUUGCGAUGAAGAUAAAGAGAAAACUGUGUUGUUUGUACACAUAUUGUAUUUUGUGUUGCUUGCAUACGAAGUGACGUUCUAGAUGGGAUGGAGUAGUGACGGUUUCUUCAUUCGGGAUGUAGAAAGUGAGGAAACUAUAGUAAUUUGUAUUUGGAUAUUUUGUAUAAUUUUGUAAUAUUUUAUGGCAUUAUAUUUCAUAAUUUUUCUUA